RNAcentral lists this ribosomal RNA (432 nucleotides) under uncultured bacterium. Its description in RNAcentral is "partial 16S ribosomal RNA". It matches the Rfam family "Bacterial small subunit ribosomal RNA", at positions 29 to 507 of the family's 1533-position model. The record is from RNAcentral.
ACGAACGCUGGCGGCAUGCCUAACACAUGCAAGUCGAACGAGACCUUCGGGUCUAGUGGCGCACGGGUGCGUAACGCGUGGGAAUCUGCCCUUGGGUUCGGAAUAACAGUUGGAAACGACUGCUAAUACCGGAUGAUGACGUAAGUCCAAAGAUUUAUCGCCCAGGGAUGAGCCCGCGUAGGAUUAGCUAGUUGGUGGGGUAAAGGCCUACCAAGGCGACGAUCCUUAGCUGGUCUGAGAGGAUGAUCAGCCACACUGGGACUGAGACACGGCCCAGACUCCUACGGGAGGCAGCAGUGGGGAAUAUUGGACAAUGGGCGAAAGCCUGAUCCAGCAAUGCCGCGUGAGUGAUGAAGGCCUUAGGGUUGUAAAACUCUUUUACCCGGGAUGAUAAUGACAGUACCGGGAGAAUAAGCCCCGGCUAACUCCGUG